This 70-nucleotide transfer RNA is filed under the name Scarabaeidae sp. BMNH 1274752. RNAcentral's name for it is "tRNA-Val". Lineage: Eukaryota; Metazoa; Arthropoda; Insecta; Coleoptera; Scarabaeidae. The record is from RNAcentral.
CAAAUUAGAGCUUGUUAGAAAGUAUUUUAUUUACAUUAAAAAGUUAGUUGUGGGAAUCAAUUUAAUUUGA